Molecule: ribosomal RNA, 513 nt
Filed under: uncultured bacterium
Lineage: Bacteria
Description: partial 16S ribosomal RNA
Rfam family: Bacterial small subunit ribosomal RNA
Source: RNAcentral
GACGAACGCUGGCGGCGUGCUUAACACAUGCAAGUCGAACGAAAAGAGGGAAAGAGCUUGCUCUUUCCGGAAUUGAGUGGCAAACGGGUGAGUAACACGUAAACAACCUGCCUUCAGGAUGGGGACAACAGACGGAAACGACUGCUAAUACCGAAUAAGUUCCAAGGGCCGCAUGGCCCAUGGAAGAAAAGGUGGCCUCUACCUGUAAGCUAUCGCCUGAAGAGGGGUUUGCGUCUGAUUAGCUGGUUGGCGGGGUAACGGCCCACCAAGGCGACGAUCAGUAGCCGGACUGAGAGGAAGAACGGCCACACUGGAACUGAGACACGGGCCAGGCUCCUAGGGGAGGCAGCAGUGGGGAAUCUUCCGCAAUGGGCGAAAGCCUGACGGAGAAACGCCGCGUGAGGGAUGACGGACUUCGGGUUGUAAAACUCUGUGAUCCGGGACGAAAAGGCAGAGUGCGAAGAACAAACUGAAUUGACGGUACCGGAAAAGCAAGCCACGGCUAACUACGUG